UCCACAUGAUGAUCACUUUUAGCCUGAUUGUUUAAAUGAAGGUAUUGAUUUAAUGAGCCUGAUGG
Molecule: small nucleolar RNA, 65 nt
Filed under: Clytia hemisphaerica
Lineage: Eukaryota; Metazoa; Cnidaria; Hydrozoa; Leptothecata; Clytiidae
Source: RNAcentral